RNAcentral lists this ribosomal RNA (490 nucleotides) under uncultured bacterium. RNAcentral's name for it is "bacterial SSU rRNA". It matches the Rfam family "Bacterial small subunit ribosomal RNA", at positions 28 to 507 of the family's 1533-position model. The record is from RNAcentral.
GAUGAACGCUAGCGACAGGCCUAACACAUGCAAGUCGAGGGGCAGCAUGGUAUCAGCUUGCUGAUACCGAUGGCGACCGGCGCACGGGUGAGUAACGCGUAUGUAAUCUGCCUGUAACAGAGGGAUAACCCGGAGAAAUCCGGCCUAAUACCUCAUAGCACAUAUUAUUCGCAUGAGUUUUAUGUUAAAGAGACUCGGUUACAGAUGAACAUGCGUUCCAUUAGCUGGUUGGCGGGGUAACGGCCCACCAAGGCAACGAUGGAUAGGGGUUCUGAGAGGAAGGUCCCCCACACUGGUACUGAGACACGGACCAGACUCCUACGGGAGGCAGCAGUGAGGAAUAUUGGUCAAUGGGCGAGAGCCUGAACCAGCCAAGUCGCGUGGAGGAAGACUGCCCUACGGGUUGUAAACUCCUUUUACCNGGGAAUAACGGGGCGCUACGCGUAGCGCUGUGCAUGUACCGGGAGAAUAAGCAUCGGCUAAUUCCGUG